RNAcentral lists this ribosomal RNA (492 nucleotides) under uncultured bacterium. RNAcentral describes it as "partial 16S ribosomal RNA". It matches the Rfam family "Bacterial small subunit ribosomal RNA", at positions 29 to 507 of the family's 1533-position model. The record is from RNAcentral.
AGUGAACGCUGGCGGUAGGCCUAACACAUGCAAGUCGAACGGCAGCACAGUAAGAGCUUGCUCUUACGGGUGGCGAGUGGCGGACGGGUGAGGAAUACAUCGGAAUCUACUUUUUCGUGGGGGAUAACGUAGGGAAACUUACGCUAAUACCGCAUACGACCUACGGGUGAAAGCAGGGGAUCUUCGGACCUUGCGCGAUUGAAUGAGCCGAUGUCGGAUUAGCUAGUUGGCGGGGUAAAGGCCCACCAAGGCGACGAUCCGUAGCUGGUCUGAGAGGAUGAUCCGCCACCAUGGAACUGGAACACGGUCCAGACUCCUACGGGAGGGAGCAGUGGGGAAUAUUUGACAAUGGGCGCAAGCCUGAUCCAGCCAUACCGCGUGGGUGAAGAAGGCCUUCGGGUUGUAAAGCCCUUUUGUUGGGAAAGAAAAGCAGCAGGUUAAUACCCCGCUGUUCUGACGGUACCCAAAGAAUAAGCACCGGCUAACUUCGUG